GACGAACGCUGGCGGCGUGCCUAAUACAUGCAAGUAGAACGCUGAAGGAGGAGCUUGCUCUUCUGGAUGAGUUGCGAACGGGUGAGUAACGCGUAGGUAACCUGCCUGGUAGCGGGGGAUAACUAUUGGAAACGAUAGCUAAUACCGCAUAUCAGUAGAUGUUGCAUGACAUUUGCUUAAAAGGUGCAAUUGCACCACUACCAGAUGGACCUGCGUUGUAUUAGCUAGUUGGAGGGGUAACGGCUCACCAAGGCGACGACACAUAGCCGACCUGAGAGGGGGAUCAGCCACACUGGGAGGGUGACACGGCCCAGAGUCCUACGGGAGGCAGCCGUAGGGAUUCUGGGGCAAUCGGCGGAAGUCUGACCGCGCAACGCCGCGUGCGUGAGGAGGGUUGUCGGGUCGUAAAGCUCUGUUGUAGGAGAAGAACGAGUGUGAGGGUGGAAAGUUCACACUGUGACGGUAUCUUACCAGAAAGGGACGGCUAACUACGUG
This 495-nucleotide ribosomal RNA is filed under the name uncultured bacterium. RNAcentral's name for it is "partial 16S ribosomal RNA". It matches the Rfam family "Bacterial small subunit ribosomal RNA", at positions 28 to 507 of the family's 1533-position model. The record is from RNAcentral.